GACGAACGCUGGCGGCGUGCUUAACACAUGCAAGUCGAACGGAAAGGCCCUGCUUGCAGGGUACUCGAGUGGCGAACGGGUGAGAAACACGUGGGUGAUCUGCCCUGCACUUCGGGAUAAGCCUGGGAAACUGGGUCUAAUACCGGAUAGGAGCCAUUUUUAGUGUGAUGGUUGGAAAGUUUUUUCGGUGUAGGAUGAGCUCGCGGCCUAUCAGCUUGUUGGUGGGGUAAUGGCCUACCAAGGCGGCGACGGGUAGCCGGCCUGAGAGGGUGGACGGCCACAUUGGGACUGAGAUACGGCCCAGACUCCUACGGGAGGCAGCAGUGGGGAAUAUUGCACAAUGGGCGCAAGCCUGAUGCAGCGACGCCGCGUGGGGGAUGACGGCCUUCGGGUUGUAAACUCCUUACGCUAGGGACGAAGCUUUUUGUGACGGUACCUAGAUAAGAAGCACCGGCUAACUACGUG
This 465-nucleotide ribosomal RNA is filed under the name uncultured bacterium. Its description in RNAcentral is "partial 16S ribosomal RNA". It matches the Rfam family "Bacterial small subunit ribosomal RNA", at positions 28 to 507 of the family's 1533-position model. The record is from RNAcentral.